Molecule: ribosomal RNA, 497 nt
Filed under: uncultured bacterium
Lineage: Bacteria
Description: partial 16S ribosomal RNA
Rfam family: Bacterial small subunit ribosomal RNA
Source: RNAcentral
GAUGAACGCUGGCGGCGUGCCUAAUACAUGCAAGUCGAGCGAACAGACGAGGAGCUUGCUCCUCUGACGUUAGCGGCGGACGGGUGAGUAACACGUGGAUAACCUACUUAUAAGACUGGGAUAAUUUCGGGAAACCGGAGCUAAUACUGGAUAAUAUAUUGAACCGCAUGGUUCAAUAGUGAAAGACGGUUUUGCUGUCACAUAUAGAUGGAUCCGCGCCGCAUUAGCUAGUUGGUAAGGUAACGGCUUACCAAGGCGACGAUGCGUAGCCGACCUGAGAGGGUGAUCAGCCACACUGGAACUGAGACACGGUCCAGACUCCUACGGGAGGCAGCAGUAGGGAAUCUUCGGCAAUGGGCGAAAGCCUGACGGAGCAACGCCGCGUGAGUGAUGAAGGUCUUCGGAUCGUAAAACUCUGUUAUUAGGGAAGAACAAAUGUGUAAGUAACUAUGCACGUCUUGACGGUACCUAAUCAGAAAGCCACGGCUAACUACGUG